CAUGUUAGAGCAACAAAGUGAAGCAGGCUGAUAACUACAUAUUGUAUAGUCCUCUUCAUAAGGCCCUCACUGAUGUGAGGAAGAUUGGGGAGCUAAAUACAAAAAAAAACGCAAACGGUUCAGAGAAACCUGCUCCACUCUACUGAAUGAUGACUUGGGGCUUUUCAUGACCACUUAUUCAACAACUUAAUGGCAAAGACUGACCUUUUAUUCAGAACAGAACCCUAUCAAGGUCAGCCACAGGUGACCUUCGAUGAAGCUGGAUCUGUCUUUCCACUUCCACUUGCAUUCGAGCCAUGGGCCGAGCCAGGGCCAGAGCCACGCGAGCCUCCUCCUGCAGCCUCCUCUGGACCCUCCAGAAGCCCC
Molecule: long non-coding RNA, 366 nt
Organism: Boleophthalmus pectinirostris (great blue-spotted mudskipper)
Lineage: Eukaryota; Metazoa; Chordata; Actinopteri; Gobiiformes; Gobiidae
Exons: 3
Source: RefSeq, a predicted model, not a curated record